Molecule: ribosomal RNA, 251 nt
Filed under: uncultured bacterium
Lineage: Bacteria
Description: partial 16S ribosomal RNA
Rfam family: Bacterial small subunit ribosomal RNA
Source: RNAcentral
GCAAGUCGAACGGUAGAGGAACAUCGGUUUCUUGAGAGUGGCGAACGGGUGAGUAACACGGAGAUGAUCUGCCUUGAAGUUGGGGAUAGCCUAUAGAAAUCUGGGGUAAUACCGGAUAAUACCUUAAGACUUUGGUCUUUUGGUGAAAGGGGCUUCGGCCUCGCUUUAAGAUGAGUCUGCGGUCUAUUAGCUAGUUGGUAGGGUAAGGGCCUACCAAGGCGACGAUAGAUAGCCGGCCUGAGAGGGUGACC